AUAUGAAACACCUGGGGAUCUUGUUAAACUAUAGAUUCUGAUUCAGGAAGUCAACAGUGGGCCUAAGGGUCUGCAUUCCUAACAACCCACCAGAUGAUGGCGAU
This 104-nucleotide microRNA precursor is filed under the name Marmota monax (woodchuck). Lineage: Eukaryota; Metazoa; Chordata; Mammalia; Rodentia; Sciuridae. The record is from RNAcentral.